This 314-nucleotide long non-coding RNA is filed under the name Theobroma cacao (cacao). Its description in RNAcentral is "long non-coding RNA (TCAC_LNC001890)". The record is from RNAcentral. Lineage: Eukaryota; Viridiplantae; Streptophyta; Magnoliopsida; Malvales; Malvaceae.
CUCUGAUCUCGUUACGAAGCCCUUCUUCAAAAUAACUAGCUUGAUCUUUCUCAAACUUCACCAAGUCUGGCACAUAUGACAUCAGCUUGUUAAAACAAGUCUCGUACUCUUCUAUGGUCAAAUUUUCUUGUUAUAAACUUAGAAAUUCUCUCUUCUUCUCUUUCUAAUGAAAGUAUGUGUAGUAUUGACCGUCGAAUUCUUAUAAGAAGUCUGUCCAAGUCAACAGAGUAAUGGAACGUGAUUUUACUAAGCUCCACCAUGUACCAGCCUGUGAAACCUUGACCUUUAUAGACUUGUAAAGGGAAAUAUACGCG